AGGACCUAGUCCGAUGGGACCGAAUAGUGACUUAUUCCUCCGCCUGCGUCUCUCUCCGGCUUUAUCCCGACUCCUUCUACCUCCCGAUAACUCGAUAGCCGUGCUCCUCCUUCUUCCCGCCUCAUCGCCUUCCUCAUUGUUACGUCCCGCCUCCAGAACUAUACGAAAUAUUUUUGGCCAAUCGGUCUGCUGGGUGAUAAAGUUCCCCUUCUUAUUGGUGAUACAAAGCCGUUUCCUCUCCUUUUAAGCGGAUAAGAUGGACAUCAAUCCGUUGUCGCAGCCAGCCUGUCCUCGGGAGCCCUCAGACGACUGAGAGGGACCGCCCAAUUCCUAAUCGCUCCUUCAAAUAAUAGAGCUGUCUUGCCCUUUAAAUCUUUCUCCUAGUUAGGGACCAUGUGUCCCAUUUCAAACGGGAAGGUUCAGCUACAAGUUGUAAAUACGUUUGAUAAUGUUAUUGCAAACUUUGUGUCUUGUUAAUUUUAAUUUAAUCCAUGUAUUGUUAAUUUAUGAAUUAUAUGUUUAUCCCACCGUUUUUUCAAGGAACUCAAGGAAGUCUAAAGUAGGUCCUCCACCUACUUUAGACCUUACAACAACCAUAUGGGGUAGGUUGGGCUGAAAGAGCAUGAGUGGUCCAAAGUCACCACACCCAGCCAGGUUCAUAGCUGAGUGGGGAUUUGAACCAACAUCUUUUUGGUCCUAAGCCCUUGGAGGUGGAACACAGCAGCAAGCCCUGUCCUUGUGCUCAUGUGUUCCAUAACCACACACCCUCACUGUCCACAGAUACAGCAUCUGCAUUGAUAAAUGAUAUAGUCAUGGGAAAUGUGGGAUAGGUUACAGAGCAUGUUAGUGAGAUGGCAAGGCAUGCUGGCGCAUUACUAUUGACUCUAUAAACAUGUGUAGUGGUUACAUAAUACCCAAACUAGGGUCUAGUUUAGUCUAUAUGGUUAUAGUGUCAACAGAAAUAUGUCAUUACCCAUAAACAUUUCAUACUUUAUAUACUCUCAUAAGAACUAAAAGUUCCAGAGUUCAUUAGUUCCUGAAGCCAUUUCUUAGGGUGUUUCAGCAGACUGGCUCGAGAAAGAAGCAAGCAUAAUAAACAGAAAUACUGAGAUCUCCUGGAGAGUGGGGGUUUAGUGGUGUUGAUAGAACUUACAGGCCUUGUAUAUAUGCGAAUAAGUGAACUAGGCUUCAGAGUGCACAGAAGAUUCCAAAGGCAGGGAAUAGUACCUUAAGGGCAUUUAUCACAUGCAUAUAAUUAAUAUAAUUGUGUAAAUUGCCAUGUCUGAUACAGAUAAUGCAGCCAGAAACUAAGAAGCAAGAAACCUAAAGAAGCUAAAGGACACAAAUCAAUCCUACAUUUUUUCAAAAGAGACAAGGCCUUUCUACAGUCUUGCUCAAGCAGAGCACAAACUUGGGGAUUAGAUUAACAAAAGUGCAAGCAGUCAAGUUAUAUGUUCUAUUUAUGUUGUUUCAGAAAUAAAACAAUAUUUUUCUUGCA
Long non-coding RNA from Hemicordylus capensis (graceful crag lizard), 1498 nucleotides. RefSeq lists it as uncharacterized. The transcript is spliced from 2 exons. The record is from RefSeq and is a predicted model, not a curated record. Lineage: Eukaryota; Metazoa; Chordata; Lepidosauria; Squamata; Cordylidae.